AUACGGAGGGUGCAAGCGUUACUCGGAAUCACUGGGCGUAAAGCGCGCGCAGGCGGCUUGAUAAGUUGGAUGUGAAAGCCUACGGCUCAACCGUAGAACUGCAUCCAAAACUGUCAGGCUAGAGUGUGGGAGAGGAAGAUGGAAUUAGUUGUGUAGGGGUAAAAUCCGUAGAGAUAACUAGGAAUACCAAAAGCGAAGGCAAUCUUCUGGAACACUACUGACGCUGAGGCGCGAAGGCGUGGGGAGCAAACAGGAUUAGAAACCCUUGUAGUCC
RNAcentral lists this ribosomal RNA (274 nucleotides) under uncultured bacterium. Its description in RNAcentral is "partial 16S ribosomal RNA". It matches the Rfam family "Bacterial small subunit ribosomal RNA", at positions 523 to 796 of the family's 1533-position model. The record is from RNAcentral.